This 552-nucleotide unclassified non-coding RNA is filed under the name Hevea brasiliensis (rubber tree). The record is from RNAcentral. Lineage: Eukaryota; Viridiplantae; Streptophyta; Magnoliopsida; Malpighiales; Euphorbiaceae.
AAAAAAUAAGGAAAAUUAAGUCGUUAUUGAAUUUGCUAGCACUAAUAAAUAAACAAAAUUAACAACUUAACUGCAUUUAUCACUAUUCGUCAUUAUGCUAAUAUACUAUAAGAAAAAGCGCUUUCAUUAUUCCUAAAAAUAGUGAAAAUACCAUUUCAGUCAUUUUUUCUAUUUAUCUUCUUUUUUACCAUAAAUCAAAAUGAACCAAAGCUAAAAUGUGUAUAGUUUCCCAAUGGGAAAGUGUGAUAUAAUAUAGUAUGAGAUGGAUGAUAUCCUUGAUAACGCUUCUUAGUUUUUCUCUUUUAAUUUCUCUUAAUUGAUUGAUCUUAGGCAUUUCACAUGAUAUAGCUUAACGUAGCUAAAAAAUAAAAAUAAUGUAAAAUAAUUAUUUUUUUGCUAAUGUUUAUUUAUUAUUUUUUAAGGUUUGGGAUGUCCAAGACUUUUUUUCUCCUUGAAAAAGAUGGGAUAACUUUUUUAUAUUAAUGUAUGAGUUAAUACUUCAAAAUGUCAAUGUAAAAUUAAAAAAAUGUUAUAUUAUAGUACGUAAUUUUG